This is a long non-coding RNA of Aquila chrysaetos chrysaetos, 5910 nucleotides long. RefSeq lists it as uncharacterized. The transcript has 2 exons. NCBI's taxonomy places the organism in Eukaryota, Metazoa, Chordata, Aves, Accipitriformes, Accipitridae. The record is from RefSeq and is a predicted model, not a curated record.
UAAGCCAGAAGAUGUGGGCACAGGUCUCCUGGCUUUCUGUCUCAUGACUCAUCCCCUACAACAUGUAGGAAAGGGCAAGAGAUUUGGAGGGUGCUUUUCAAAUGAGAAGUCACCCCAUUUUCACCUCCAUGUAACCCGCAGAGCAGCUGAUGUGACUGAGCUGAAACCAGGCCCCCUCCAAUUUUGGGGAAAGCUGAUGCAAUGGGAACAGAUCUAACCUGAAACGUAGUGAUAGGUCAGGAUGGGUUUUGAGAUCAGAGAUCCUGAUUCGUAUUUAUACUUAAUUCUUUCCCAUCCCAGCAGCAAUGUAAAACAGCCUUAAAGUGACUGUGCAGUAUCAAAUACUUCCCUUAUUUCCCCAGUGGUGCAGAGGUCUGUAAGGACAAGCCCCGUGAGUGGCUGUGUUGAGCAAGGGCUAAAGAAGAGCCAGGGGAUUUAGGCUUUAGCUUGGAAAUAGUAUUUCAGUGCAUCACCCCGAAUAAACUGCUGCCGGAGCUGCCAACGGCUCAGCGAUUUCCUCUGCAAACCUCAGAAACAGGUGAAACACUGGGCAGGGCUUGGAGCAUCAUUCAGCCAAACUUUUAAAACAGCAAUCCCCGUAAUAGGAUUAAACGGGGCCAACCAACAGGGGCAAAGGCUUGAAGAGAUUACGCGAGGCAUGCGAGAGGAAGGAUUAGCAGGAGAUGCAACAACAACGGAAGCCAGGAGAGUGCACUUAGCUCUAAGGGCGAGCGGUGCCACACGCCACGCACGCUUGGGGUUGACCUCUCCACCUCCACUCCAGGACAGCCUGGACUCACCCUCUCCAUCCACAAGAACGGUCCCUGCGCUGCGCCACGAGAUGUCCCACGGGCCCUUGGACACCAGCCCAUGUCCUACGCUAGUACUGACAUGGUCCAGGGCUCCUGGGGCUGAUGGCUGCUGAGAACGUGGACAGCUGUAUGCACCGAAAAUACAUUAUUUGAGGCCACUUCUCUUCUCCUUUGCAGUCUGGUAGCCAUGGGGAGAACGUACGUGGGACACAUUCUUACUGCUGAGAGGCCACAGCACUCCAAAAAAUGUUGGAUACCAUGACCUGCUGUCAUUAACAGUUCUGCCUUUUGCUGUUCUGGCAGGUAAUUGAUAGCUGCUCCAGCACCGGACUGCACAUUUGGGGUGUCACUGAUAAUACAGUGCAAAACAUUUUUAUUUAUCUAUUACAUCUCUGGGCCUCUGCUUAGUUUGCCCUUAGAUGUUUUCCCAAUAUAGCUGUUUCCAAUGGAAAAUGAGAUGAUUACAUUUGCAAGGAACCUCAGUGUGGACGCAGAUAUAAUGGCAAUUUAUAUGGAAUAGUUCCUCCUUUUUUGUGUGUGCCAUGUGCUGUCAGUCUAAAGCCUGUUUGUAGGACAGAAUUGUAUCUGUGACAGAAAGCUGCAGUUUUCUGCUUAUAGUGUGCAGUAAACACAGUGUGUAUAGGGAUCAAAAGAUUAUAUAUUUAUUAUUGACAUGUGCAAUUGGCUCUCGGGCCCUUUAGAAGUUGGACUUCUACUUCAAACUAGGAGUUCAGGUCUCCACUGGAGAGAAGGAUUCACUUCCAGAGGGCAAUUUUUCUUACCUGCCACAGGAUGGGAUGAGCUGACUUCUGCCGUGCCUGUCUUCUGCACAAGAAAGCUUCCUUCCAUGGGAGGACCUUUGGCAACUACCAGCUUCUUAGGUCAUGAGACAUUUUGGUUUAGCCACCUAAAAGAAAACUCAGAACAAGCCCAUGAGGCCACUUGGUACUUUGGGGAAACCCUAGAAAAGCCCCGUAUUGACCACGGGCUGCAGAGCUGCUAUGGGCAUGGAGCAAACACCCAGGGCUUCCUGCAGACAUCAGUCAGCCGCGCUGUGCUUGAGCCGAUGGGCUGCGAGCACGAAGGGAGCUGCUUCUUUAGCUCCUUUUAGUAAUUCCAUGAUCUCUCGUGCACUGAGCCAUCCCUGUGUCAUCCUCCCAGGCAGCCUGCCCGCAGCAGCAAAGACAGCUUUACGGGUCUGCUGAGGCCAUAUCCGAAUAUCCUGAGUAAUCUUCAUGAGUGACGGAGAAAUGCUCGUGUGUCUUGCUAAAUUUCUGCAGAGGGCAGUUACCAUAGUUUAAGAUGUACAUCCGAUUUCGAACCUCACCUUGCCAUGCAAACUGUGAGCAAGACCGAGUCGGCCGAAGUGCUGUCACUAAAAUUGCAUUUAUUAUGUAUAUAUGUAUAAGAUCAAUGACCUGAGGCAAGUUUCCAUGGAAAAUAUUUAUUUUGGUGAAAAUUGAUUCUUCAGUGAAGAGACUGGGGAAAACGAGAAAGGGAAACUGCAUAUGAAAAAACCUCCAAAACCAAUCCCUUUUUUGUUUUGUAAAAAAAGCCUUGAAUACUGGUUGAAAAAAUGGUAUAAAAUUAUGUAUUUUUUUGUUUGCUUCCUUUCCAAAUGUCUUUGGAAAUAUGUCUUUGACCAUUUCUGACAAGAUCUGAAAAUAAACGUAGCCAAACAAAGCUUAAGUCAGUCGUCUAUAGAGAGACAGGAUAUGUCAGGAUUCCUCCAUCUAGACCCAAAUUUUUCAUUUUUUCAGCUAACUCCAUUCAGAUUCCUGUGUUGACCCAUUAAUAUAAUAUUUAAGCUCCAGUGUGCUUCUGAAUAGGAGCUGAGUGUCACCGCAAGAAGCAAAGACUACUCUUCGAUAGCGGUCACAACAGCUCAUAUUCCUCCUAACACAUUUUUAACAUCUCAUGAAAAGUCACUUACUCAAACUGUUUUCUGCCAGCCCACUCCUCCCUCUUGAAUCCAGUCAGGAGUCACAAGACGAGGUACCCAAACCUCAGGUAAACACGUAACGAUGAUGGGCUGUGGGAGGUGAAGAUGAAGUAGAGUCAUACCCACGAGGUGCUCUGCAGAGAUGGGUGCUGGAUCUGUUGCUCCUCAAAGCCUCAGCUGCUCUGUUGCUUUUGGGGAUUAAAGGAUGUCCUGAAGAAAAGAGCUCUACAGCUGAACAUUGAUAUCCUUCCUAAGAAUGCAUUGAAAAAAUGUCAAUUUGGGGGAAGGAGAGCACCAGCUUUCGGAAGCUGCUGAUCUGCUGACUCCCACUUCUGGAUGUCCUGAAUCUAUCCAAUAUUGGAAGCAGAGGACUUCUCCCUUCCCCAGAGGACAUCACAGCCAUACACUCUAUCCUGGCCCUGCUCAUGGCAAGGAAAAAAGGGUUUCUGCAGCGUGUGGGUCUCCAGCUGCUGGGUUGGGUUGAGGACCACUGUCAGCCUCCACAGCUGCGUUUCAGAGGGUGAUUUCCCCAAGCGCUUGUCAUCCGUGGCUGAAUUUUCCUUGCAGACUAUUAGUUAGGGAGGGUCUGUAAUAUUUAAAAAGAGCUUGAUGAAGGCUGAAGGACAGUCAUGUUUUACUGACUCUCAUUUAAAUUUAAUUUAAAUGUAGUUUAAGCAUUACUGCAUGGCCCAUAAGCAAACAGCUCUGACUGAUGGUGCUUCUUGUUUUACCCGAGUCUGAGUUUUAACCAGAGAGGUGGCGAGUGGCCCUGGGUGGCUGGUGGGGUUGCUGGCUCUGGUGAAGCCUUGCCAGAUCGAGAGCCUCCGAUUGCUGCUGACAUGUGGGUGAUUGCACGCGGCUGCACCGAGGCGCUUAUCGGUUCUGUUAAAGCCGAUAAGCUUCUUCUUGGCAACUCUGGGCCAGGGACAUGAGAUGUCAUGCAACCCUUCACCACUCAAGGAGCCGCAUCUACAAGUUGGCUGAACGUGGAUGCAGCUGGCGAGCCCUCAUGGUACGCUGCGGGUUGGUUUUGGAGGCAGAGCGAUGGAAAACCGCUGAGGACUUGUUUUGAUCACUGCUGCUGUCCCUUGUUGGCCUCGCCAAGUUCUGCUUUGCAUCCACCAAUGCUAUCCCAUACUCAGAAAGCAAAAUUAUGUUUUCCACCAUGUCUGUCUUGCUUAAAACCCCACAGAGGUGACUUCUCAUCCACAUCUCAGAUGUUAUCCUACAGAUUUAUCAGUGUAGCCACGCAAUGUCAGACCUCUUCCACUACUACUGAAGAGGUGCAAUGCAGUCGAUGUGGCUAGGAGCCUCCCCUGAAAUCAGAGUUUCGUGUACUAAUGCUUCAUUCCCCCUCCCAAAUAAUCCUGAGGCACCCCGGACCCACACAAUGGUGCAAUCUAAGUGGACCGCACAGUGGAAGAGGAGGUGACCUGAAUAAUGUAGUACAGCUGCUCCACGGCAGAGAUGAGCUGCAUCCUGGCUUUUUGACUACCCCUUUACUAAUAAGUUUGCGCCUAAACCUGUGAGCCCGCUGGCAGAGUUGUGCCAUGUCCAAAUUAUCAGUCUCCAAAACCAGGCGGACACAUCCCAACUGCCUUUUGGCAUUGGCACGUGUCCUGCUGUGCUGAGCAAGCCCAUGUUCUGCCACUGUAAAAGCUACCAGAAUAGAGGUAGGGUUUGAGAUUUCCGUCUAUGUCCUGAAGGUCCCGUUCUUGACUCCACACACCAUCGCCUGCAGCUGGGAUUUCUUUCUGUCUUUCCAACUCAAAGAUCUCUUCAAUGCACUUUUCAUGUCACUGCAGCCUCUAUGUACAGUUAUACUUCAGACGCAUCCCCGAAUAUCGAUAUAGCAAAAAAGAAGAAAAAAAGAGCUGAGAAGGUAUGCAUCUCUUAAUGACUUUAAAAACCCUUUUAAAGGACUGCAGUUGGAUUUUUUUUUUUAGUAUAGAGCCACUCCUUUGGGACCUACUCUUGGUACAAACUUGUGCUGAUACAAUCUAACAUCUGAAAUAAAUCUAAAGUUGAGGUAAUCCUUUUGAGCUCAAUAUUAUAAAACACUGAGUACCAUCCCCACCUGAAACAAUUGUGUUUCUUUAUUCCACCUCUGGGUGAAAUGGAGGAUCUUACUGACCUUUUUUAUAGGUCUGAACACUAUGUUCCAUCUUCAUGAUACCCCUGUUGUGAACCUGGAAGGUGGCUCUGACACUUCACUUUUCUCUCAUGAGAAACACAGGCUACAAGAUCUUCCUGAACAGCCUCUUCUUAUAAAUAAAUAAUUUUUUUCACAAAAUUCCCUUGAAACAUGGCAAGUAAAGUACUUUCACCUGUUUACUGAAGUACAUAUCAUAUUAUCUGUACCAACAUUAAUGUAUAACUUACAUAUACUAAAAACCUCUCAACAUGUAUCAAGGGUUUUCUCAGCACCUUCCGUAACAGUCAGGUGAGCCCUGGUGCACUUUCAAGUGGAAAGGCCUGAUCAACCUAAAAGUUAAUGCUUGUGUUUCUCCACAAAGCCACCCAUUUGAGUUCAGUGCCACUCGACUCCGCUCUUUCAUCGCCCACAGGCUCACGUGGGUAUGGGACCUCCGUCUCCAUCGCCUUCUGCCUCGGGCAGUUACUUACAAAUUGGAUGUAAGACCUGAAUGUCACAUCCUUGGGGACCAGCGUUCAUUUCACAGUAGGGUCUGUCAGAAAUAUAGUAAAUUUAAUGGAUGUUGGAGCCCAACGGUCAUCGCCAGCAUGACCCUGGCAUGGUUCUGACCUGGGACAAGUAGCACUGAGCUAAGGGGCUCUGAGCAAUCUGGUUUAGCUAGCUGAAGAUGUCCCUGCUCAUGGCAGGGGGUUGGACUAGAUGACCUUUAAAGGUCCCAUCCAACCCAAACCACUCUGUGAUUUGACGAUUCUAUGAAAUAAUCCCCAAACUCAGAUUAGCAUGGGUUAGAGAUUGUUCUUAAUAGUUUGUCUGGGUGCAACCACCUUGUUUAGGUCAACAAGGGGGUUUGGCCGAAUGGAUGUGGCCACACCACCCCAGCCAUGCUGGGGCCAGAGGCCAGACCCUGGCACUGUUUAUUUUACCAGGAAAAAUGCAGCAUUAAGUUUACCAUUACAUGUGCUGGCAUACCAGCCUGUUAUUAAAGUAGCCAUCUUCCAGUG